UCCAGCUUGCUGGGGUGAUUAGUGGCGAACGGGUGAGUAACACGUGAGUAACCUGCCCUUGACUCUGGGAUAAGCCUGGGAAACUGGGUCUAAUACCGGAUAUGACCUUCCAUCGCAUGGUGGUUGGUGGAAAGCUUUUGUGGUUUUGGAUGGACUCGCGGCCUAUCAGCUUGUUGGUGGGGUAAUGGCCUACCAAGGCGACGACGGGUAGCCGGCCUGAGAGGGUGACCGGCCACACUGGGACUGAGACACGGCCCAGACUCCUACGGGAGGCAGCAGUGGGGAAUAUUGCACAAUGGGCGCAAGCCUGAUGCAGCGACGCCGCGUGAGGGAUGACGGCCUUCGGGUUGUAAACCUCUUUCAGUAGGGAAGAAGCGUAAGUGACGGUACCUGCAGAAGAAGCGCCGGCUAACUACGUGCCAGCAGCCGCGGUAAUACGUAGGGCGCAAGCGUUAUCCGGAAUUAUUGGGCGUAAAGAGCUCGUAGGCGGUUUGUCGCGUCUGCCGUGAAAGUCCGGGGCUCAACUCCGGAUCUGCGGUGGGUACGGGCAGACUAGAGUGAUGUAGGGGAGACUGGAAUUCCUGGUGUAGCGGUGAAAUGCGCAGAUAUCAGGAGGAACACCGAUGGCGAAGGCAGGUCUCUGGGCAUUAACUGACGCUGAGGAGCGAAAGCAUGGGGAGCGAACAGGAUUAGAUACCCUGGUAGUCCAUGCCGUAAACGUUGGGCACUAGGUGUGGGGGACAUUCCACGUUUUCCGCGCCGUAGCUACGCAUUAAGUGCCCCGCCUGGGGAGUACGGCCGCAAGGCUAAACUCAAGGAAUUGACGGGGGCCCGCACAAGCGGCGGAGCAUGCGGAUUAAUUCGAUGCAACGCGAAGAACCCUUACCAAGGCUUGACAUGGACCGGAUCGCUGCAGAAAUGUGGUUUCUCCUUUUGGGGCUGGGUUU
RNAcentral lists this ribosomal RNA (947 nucleotides) under Arthrobacter sp. NCCP-1111. RNAcentral describes it as "bacterial SSU rRNA". It matches the Rfam family "Bacterial small subunit ribosomal RNA", at positions 74 to 1034 of the family's 1533-position model. Lineage: Bacteria; Bacillati; Actinomycetota; Actinomycetes; Micrococcales; Micrococcaceae. The record is from RNAcentral.